AGAGUUUGAUCCUGGCUCAGAACGAACGCUGGCGGCAGGCCUAAUACAUGCAAGUCGAGCGCGCCCUUCGGGGUGAGCGGCGGACGGGUGAGUAACGCGUGGGAAUAUGCCCUUCUCUAAGGAAUAGCCUCUGGAAACGGAGAGUAAUACCUUAUACGCCCUUUGGGGGAAAGAUUUAUCGGAGAAGGAUUAGCCCGCGUUAGAUUAGGUAGUUGGUGGGGUAAUGGCCUACCAAGCCUACGAUCUAUAGCUGGUUUGAGAGGAUGAUCAGCCACACUGGGACUGAGACACGGCCCAGACUCCUACGGGAGGCAGCAGUGGGGAAUAUUGGACAAUGGGGGAAACCCUGAUCCAGCAAUGCCGCGUGUGUGAUGAAGGCCUUAGGGUUGUAAAGCACUUUCACUGGUGAAGAUGAUGACG
This 420-nucleotide ribosomal RNA is filed under the name alpha proteobacterium OCS84. Its description in RNAcentral is "bacterial SSU rRNA". It matches the Rfam family "Bacterial small subunit ribosomal RNA", at positions 8 to 456 of the family's 1533-position model. Lineage: Bacteria; Pseudomonadati; Pseudomonadota; Alphaproteobacteria. The record is from RNAcentral.